GCGUGAGUGAUGAAGGCCUUAGGGUUGUAAAGCUCUUUUACCAGGGAUGAUAAUGACAGUACCUGGAGAAUAAGCUCCGGCUAACUCCGUGCCAGCAGCCGCGGUAAUACGGAGGGAGCUAGCGUUGUUCGGAAAUACUGGGCGUAAAGCGCACGUAGGCGGCGUCGCAAGUCAGGGGUGAAAUCCCGGGGCUCAACCCCGGAACUGCCCUUGAAACUGCAAUGCUAGAAUACUGGAGAGGCAAGUGGAAUUCCGAGUGUAGAGGUGAAAUUCGU
This 275-nucleotide ribosomal RNA is filed under the name uncultured bacterium. RNAcentral's name for it is "partial 16S ribosomal RNA". It matches the Rfam family "Bacterial small subunit ribosomal RNA", at positions 399 to 691 of the family's 1533-position model. The record is from RNAcentral.